This 671-nucleotide ribosomal RNA is filed under the name uncultured bacterium. RNAcentral describes it as "bacterial SSU rRNA". It matches the Rfam family "Bacterial small subunit ribosomal RNA", at positions 727 to 1398 of the family's 1533-position model. The record is from RNAcentral.
UGCUAGACCGAAUCUGACGCUGAGGGACGAAAGCUAGGGGAGCGAAUGGGAUUAGAUACCCCAGUAGUCCUAGCCGUAAACGAUGGAGACUAGGUGUUGCCUGUAUCGACCCGGGCAGUGCCGAAGCCAACGCGUUAAGUCUCCCGCCUGGGGAGUACGCACGCAAGUGUGAAACUCAAAGGAAUUGACGGGGGCCCGCACAAGCGGUGGAGUAUGUGGUUUAAUUCGAUGCAACGCGAAGAACCUUACCAGGGCUUGACAUCCCGCGAAUCUUCCCGAAAGGGGAGAGUGCCUACGGGAACGCGGAGACAGGUGGUGCAUGGCUGUCGUCAGCUCGUGUCGUGAGAUGUUGGGUUAAGUCCCGCAACGAGCGCAACCCUCGUCCUUAGUUGCCAUCCUUAAGUGGGGCACUCUAGGGAGACUGCCGGUGAUAAACCGGAGGAAGGUGGGGAUGACGUCAAGUCAUCAUGCCCCAUAUGUUCUGGGCUACACACGUACUACAAUGGUCGGGACAACGAGCAGCCAACUUGCGAAAGCGAGCUAAUCUCUUAAACCCGGCCUCAGUUCAGAUUGCAGGCUGCAACUCGCCUGCAUGAAGGAGGAAUCGCUAGUAAUCGCAGGUCAGCAUACUGCGGUGAAUCCGUUCCCGGGCCUUGCACUCACCGCCCGUC